Molecule: long non-coding RNA, 1178 nt
Filed under: Pan troglodytes (chimpanzee)
Lineage: Eukaryota; Metazoa; Chordata; Mammalia; Primates; Hominidae
Description: lincRNA
Source: RNAcentral
UGUCAAGUGGAAGUGUGAAGCACCACAAACUGCUCUGAGCAGAGCCCACUUCCCUUCACCCACAGAGAGCGUGAAGCAGUUACACCAACAUCAAUCAAGGAAAACCCACAGGCUGAGCUCACACGGUUGAAGCAGGAAGUUGAAGAUUUGUCCAGGAGCAGAUAGCUGAAGAGAGAGAGAGAGAAGAGAGAAUGGCUUACAGCUCAGGUCCUCUCUCCAUGCUUAGGAACCACUACAAAUGCUACUGCCUUGAGUCUCAUUUUGUUUCCCUCUGGAAACCACAUGUGUACCUUGUUUGCAGCAGUAUGGUUAGAAAACUUUAAUAUGAGAUUGAAGAUAUGAUUUGCUUUCUGGAUUGUUGUAUGCUACUAAAACCGAAGAAAGAGAAGGAAAAAUGGAUGAAUCGACGGACCAUAUCACCCUGGCACCUAUAUCAGCUCAAAAACUGAAGGAAAUACCCCUUUCCUGCCCUCUCUUUGACUAAUGCUAUAGACUCUGAGUCAGUAGUUCCUGGUGGGACCCGAGAGUCCACAUUCCUGAUGAGCUCCAGGUGUUCCCAUGCUGCUGCCCCUCUGACCACACUUAGAAUAAGAAGGCUUGAAAUGAAAUCUGAGAAAUCAGCCUCUUGAUUCCAAUUUUAAACAUGCAAUUGAUUCUUGUAAUUUUUCAUUCUUGUCAAAAUGCAUACCAGUAAGUUUGUAAUCAGUAUUGGCAUGCUUAAAAGAAUUUAAGACUUGCUAUAUUUGUCAUUUUAAUUUAUUUAAACCUUAAAGAUUUGUUCAGAACUUGGAAAGAUUUUGCUUGUUAAGCUCAUAAAUUUACCCACUCAGGCAUAUGAGAUAGGGUACUUUGAUUUAUAAAUGAAGUUUAAAAUUAAGGGAAUUUUAAUUAAGUUUUCAAAAUGAGAUUGGUUGUUUUAAGGGGAAUUUACUUGGUGUAACUUGAGUUGAUCAAACGCUAAUCCAAGUUCCCUGCAAAACCUGUUCUGUUUUAUAUAACAUUUACUCGUUUUAGAAAUAGAUGAGAUUUGCAAAUUGAACCUAAAGACUUAAGGCAAAUUAUGUAUCUUUUUAUACUUUAAUAAAGAAAAAUAAAAUAAAUUUGAAACACAAAUAACUCUAACUGGCCCUUUUUAUGUAAAAAGAAGUCCUUGAAUAAAAUUUACCUUGACAGCACUA